AUUGAACGCUGGCGGCAGGCCUAACACAUGCAAGUCGAGCGAGCGGCGGACGGGUGAGUAAUGUAUGUGGCUUGCCCGAUAGAGGGGGAUAACUACUGGAAACGGUGGCUAAUACCGCAUACUAUCGGAUAACCCCUAUGGGCUUAGCUUGUGGGUGGGGUAAAGGCUCACCUAGGCGACGACCUCUAGCUGGUCUGAGAGGAUGAUCAGCCACACGGGAACUGAGACACGGCCCAGACUCCAACGGGGGCAGCAGUGGGGAAUAUUGGACAAGUGGCGAAAGCCUGAUGCAGCCAUGCCGGGUGGAUGAAGAAGGUCUUAGGGUUGUAAAGUACUUUCGGCGGGGAGGCGUUACCAGCAGAAGAAGCACCGGCUAACUCCGUGCCAGCCGCCGCGGUAAUAC
RNAcentral lists this ribosomal RNA (403 nucleotides) under uncultured bacterium. RNAcentral's name for it is "partial 16S ribosomal RNA". It matches the Rfam family "Bacterial small subunit ribosomal RNA", at positions 30 to 526 of the family's 1533-position model. The record is from RNAcentral.